Molecule: ribosomal RNA, 253 nt
Filed under: uncultured bacterium
Lineage: Bacteria
Description: partial 16S ribosomal RNA
Rfam family: Bacterial small subunit ribosomal RNA
Source: RNAcentral
UACAGAGGUCUCGAGCGUUGUUCGGAUUCAUUGGGCGUAAAGGGCGCGUAGGCGGCGGGGUAAGUCUGGUGUGAAAUCUCGGAGCUCAACUCCGAAACUGCACUGGAUACUGCUCUGCUAGAGGGCUGGAGAGGAGAUCGGAAUUCACGGUGUAGCAGUGAAAUGCGUAGAUAUCGUGAGGAAGACCAGUGGCGAAGGCGGUUGCCUGGGGCUUUGCUGACGCUGAGGCGCGAAAGCGUGGGGAGCGAUCCGG